This is a long non-coding RNA of Callithrix jacchus (white-tufted-ear marmoset), 1605 nucleotides long. RefSeq lists it as uncharacterized. Lineage: Eukaryota; Metazoa; Chordata; Mammalia; Primates; Cebidae. The record is from RefSeq and is a predicted model, not a curated record.
CCAGGUGGGAGGCCGGCCUGUCGGUCCAGCUGCCGGCUGCAGCCAGCCCCCAGCAGGCCGGCAGAUAAGGACAUCGGCCUCACGUCAUAAAUAAAGCCGGGGACCCGCUGACAGGCCCUGGCACGGCCGCGGCCCCCGCCGCCCCUGCUAGCCUCCCCGGCCUCCCUGGCCUCCCCUGCGGUUGCAGCGGCCUGCUGGCAACUGUGCAAGAAUCGCAGGUGCCGGGCACGAGCAGGGGCCAAGGCUCAGGCCCCUCCCGGCUGAGCUUGCUCCCGCCCACCCCCAAACCUGGAGGGGCCCGGGAUAGGGGCUGCGGAGCUGGCUGGAGCCUGACUCUACCCCUCCCUAGCUCUGGGACCCUCUCUGGGCCUCAGUUUCCCUAUCAUCUCACGAGCCAGGGUGAGCUUGGGCUUUCUGUGAACUGAGUUCAGACCCAUGUGACCUCCUGAAGCCUCCGUGUCCUCACCUGAGAAAAAGCUGUCUCCCUUGCAGAGAAACCCUGGGGUGUCGGGGACCCGACAAUGAGUAACUCCACGCCUGCUGCCUGCAGGCACUUGGGUGCCACCCACCAUGUGGGCACUUGCCACAAAUUAUGUCAUCCAAGCCUCACAACAGCCCAAGGCAAACUAGAGGUCUGUGGACCCAGAGAAAACCCAAGACAGCAAGAGGAGGCAGACUCAGGCACCUAAUCAUUCCCAUCCCCCUGCUUUGAUCAGAAGGGGAAACUGAGGCCCAUCAAAAGCAAAAGAAAUAGAUCGAAGGCCACAUUCAGCCUUGGGGGGUUGGGGAGUCACCAGUUUGAGACCUCUACUCUCUUGGAGACAACCAGGAAACCCGUUGAGCGCUAUGGCUCACACCUGCAAUUCCAGCACUUUGGGAGGCCGAAAGGGGCAGAUAACCUGAGGUCAGGAGUUCAAGACCAGCCCGGCCAACAUGGUGAAACCCUGUCUGUACUAAAAAAUACAAAAAUUAGCUGUGCAUGGUGGUGCGUGCCUGUAGUCCCAGCUACUCAGGAGACUGAGGGAGGAGAAUCGCUUGAACCCGAGAGGUGGAGGUUGCCGAGAUCACACCAUUGCACUCCAGCCUGGGCCAAAGUAAGACUCUGUCUCAACAAGAACAAACACGGCCAGGCACAGUGGCUCACGUCUAUAAUCCCAGCACUUUGGGAGGCAGAGGUGGGUGGUUCACCUGAGGUCGGCAGCUGGAGACCAGCCUAGCCAACAUGGUGAAACCCCAUCACUAAGAAGAAAUACAAAAAUUAGGCUGGGUGCGGUGCUCACACCUGUAAUCUCAGCACUUUGGGAGGCCGAGGUGGAUGGAUCAUGAGGUCAAGAGAUUGAGACCAUCCUGGUCAACUUGGUGAAACCCCGUCUCUACUAAAAAUACAAAAAAUUAGCUGGGCAUGAUGGCGCGUGCCUGUAAUCCCAGCUACUCAGGAGGCUGAGGUAGGAGAAUCGCCUGAACUCAGGAGGCGGAGGUUGCGGUGAGCCGAGAUUGCGCCAUUGCACUCCAGCCUGGGUAACAAGAGCAAAAUUCCAUCUCGAGAGAAAAAAAAAAAAAAAGAAACAAAAAUUAGCUAUACAUGGUGGCGCGUGCCUGUAGUCC